CGAUACCGAGUUUGAAUCCUGGCUCAGGAUGAACGCUGGCGGCGUGCCUAAUACAUGCAAGUCGAACGAGGUGCUUGAGUAGCAAUACGAGAGUAUCCUAGUGGCGAACGGGUGAGUAACAUAUCGGAACGUACCCAGUCGUGGGGGAUAACUAUCCGAAAGGAUAGCUAAUACCGCAUACGUCCUGAGGGAGAAAGCGGGGGAUCGCAAGACCUCGCGCGAUUGGAGCGGCCGAUAUCGGAUUAGCUAGUUGGUGGGGUAAAGGCUCACCAAGGCGACGAUCCGUAGCGGGUCUGAGAGGACGACCCGCCACACUGGAACUGAGACACGGUCCAGACUCCUACGGGAGGCAGCAGUGGGGAAUUUUGGACAAUGGGGGCAACCCUGAUCCAGCCAUUCCGCGUGAGUGAAGAAGGCCUUCGGGUUGUAAAGCUCUUUCAGCAGGAACGAAACGGUGGUCCCUAAUACGGACUACUAAUGACGGUACCUGAAGAAGAAGCACCGGCUAACUACGUG
This 516-nucleotide ribosomal RNA is filed under the name uncultured bacterium. Its description in RNAcentral is "bacterial SSU rRNA". It matches the Rfam family "Bacterial small subunit ribosomal RNA", at positions 1 to 507 of the family's 1533-position model. The record is from RNAcentral.